CGCACGUGUCAGUCGCUUUCGAUCAUUUCGCGGGGCCCUACCAGUUUUCCGAUCUCUUCCCGAUUUCUACGCCGCUGAGACUGACUUUUGGGGAUACGUGGACUCGAACGACCGACGUGAAACGAUCUUUCCUGAAGACUGAGGUGCUUACUCCCUGGCAGGAAGUCGUCCAGGUGUUCUGCUCCCCACUUGCUACUCUUCUCUACCACCUCUCCAGCCAGGCCAACUUUUGACGGGACAUCGCCGAGCCUCGAGAUGACAGGACCCUCCUAGCAAAGAGCCGUGACGAAAAUUCGAUUUGAACAUGUUGAUUCGCUGGGUGCAUCGCGUGGACACGUAGAAACGUUGAAUCUGGAACAGACAAAGUAAUGUUUCAGUGAAGUCUGGAUUAUUGACACCUGGAAGGAUCGGUAACUGUGGCGUGGCUUGAGCAUGCGAAACACUUUCUCGCGGACUAUUAAAUUUCACGGCUACGUUAAUCAACAUGUUCGAGGUGAAGGUACGAUCGCAUCUCAUUGUUGGCGCGAAGCAGAAACAACAAUUAGCUUGAAUAAGGAAGCUUGGCCAUCGAGGGUUAGACAGUCCGGUUUAGGGUGAUGCGGUUCGCUGAUCAUCCUACCAGUUCUUCCUGCUUAGACGCGACUAAGAUCUCUUUUUCUUUCUGGGCGAUGACUAAACCCAACGUCUAUAAAUGUAAGAAAUACC
This 705-nucleotide long non-coding RNA is filed under the name Eufriesea mexicana. Its description in RNAcentral is "uncharacterized LOC108550010, transcript variant X2". The record is from RNAcentral. Lineage: Eukaryota; Metazoa; Arthropoda; Insecta; Hymenoptera; Apidae.